UACGGAGGGUGCGAGCGUUGUCCGGAAUCACUGGGCGUAAAGGGCGCGUAGGUGGCGCGAGUAGUCAACGGUGAAAGCCCGGGGCUCAACCCCGGGUCGGCCGUCGAUACUCUCGUGCUUGAGCACUGUAGAGGCAGGUGGAAUUCCGGGUGUAGCGGUGGAAUGCGUAGAGAUCGGGAGGAACAUCCGUGGCGAAGGCGGCCAUCUGGAUCAACACUGACGCUGAGGCACGAAAGCGUGGGGAGCAAACAGG
Molecule: ribosomal RNA, 253 nt
Filed under: uncultured bacterium
Lineage: Bacteria
Description: partial 16S ribosomal RNA
Rfam family: Bacterial small subunit ribosomal RNA
Source: RNAcentral